RNAcentral lists this ribosomal RNA (679 nucleotides) under Lactobacillus casei group sp. RNAcentral describes it as "bacterial SSU rRNA". It matches the Rfam family "Bacterial small subunit ribosomal RNA", at positions 92 to 757 of the family's 1533-position model. Lineage: Bacteria; Bacillati; Bacillota; Bacilli; Lactobacillales; Lactobacillaceae. The record is from RNAcentral.
CGAGUGGCGGACGGGUGAGUAACACGUGGGUAACCUGCCCUUAAGUGGGGGAUAACAUUUGGAAACAGAUGCUAAUACCGCAUAGAUCCAAGAACCGCAUGGUUCUUGGCUGAAAGAUGGCGUAAGCUAUCGCUUUUGGAUGGACCCGCGGCGUAUUAGCUAGUUGGUGAGGUAAUGGCUCACCAAGGCGAUGAUACGUAGCCGAACUGAGAGGUUGAUCGGCCACAUUGGGACUGAGACACGGCCCAAACUCCUACGGGAGGCAGCAGUAGGGAAUCUUCCACAAUGGACGCAAGUCUGAUGGAGCAACGCCGCGUGAGUGAAGAAGGCUUUCGGGUCGUAAAACUCUGUUGUUGGAGAAGAAUGGUCGGCAGAGUAACUGUUGUCGGCGUGACGGUAUCCAACCAGAAAGCCACGGCUAACUACGUGCCAGCAGCCGCGGUAAUACGUAGGUGGCAAGCGUUAUCCGGAUUUAUUGGGCGUAAAGCGAGCGCAGGCGGUUUUUUAAGUCUGAUGUGAAAGCCCUCGGCUUAACCGAGGAAGCGCAUCGGAAACUGGGAAACUUGAGUGCAGAAGAGGACAGUGGAACUCCAUGUGUAGCGGUGAAAUGCGUAGAUAUAUGGAAGAACACCAGUGGCGAAGGCGGCUGUCUGGUCUGUAACUGACGCUGAGGCUCGAA